AGAGUUUGAUCAUGGCUCAGAACGAACGCUGGCGGCGCGUUUAAAGCAUGCAAGUCGAACGGAAUUAUAGGGCUUCGGUUCUAUAGUUUAGUGGCGAACGGGUGAGUAACGCGUAGAUGAUCUACCUUCGGGUGGGGGAUAGUCCCUCGAAAGGGGGUUUAAUACCGCGUAAAGUGUAUUGGAUAAUGCUGAUACAUGAAAGCCGCGAGGCACCUGGAGAUGAGUCUGCGUACCAUUAGUUAGUUGGUGGGGUAAAGGCCUACCAAGGCGAAGAUGGUUAGCCGGUCUGAGAGGAUGGCCGGUCACAUUGGGACUGAGACACGGCCCAGACUCCUACGGGAGGCAGCAGCUAAGAAUCUUCCGCAAUGGGCGAGAGCCUGACGGAGCGACGCCGCGUGGACGAAGAAGGCCUUAUGGGUUGUAAAGUCCUUUUUAUAUUGGAAAAUGUACCCUUUUAGGGGGUACUGAUGGUAGAUAUAGAAUAAGCCCCGGCUAAUUACGUGCCAGCAGCCGCGGUAAUACGUAAGGGGCGAGCGUUGUUCGGAAUUAUUGGGCAUAAAGGGCGCGUAGGCGGUCUUGCAAGUUAUGGGUGGAAAGUCUGGGCUCAACCUGGAUCGUGCCCAUAAAACUGUAGGACUAGAGUUUAGGAGAGGAUGCUGGAAUUCCUGGUGUAGGGGUGGAAUCUAUAGAUAUCAGGAGGAACACCUGUGGCGAAGGCGAGCAUCUGGCCAUAAACUGAGCUGAGGCGCGAAAGCGUGGGGAGCAAACAGGAUUAGAUACCCUAGUAGUCC
Molecule: ribosomal RNA, 791 nt
Filed under: uncultured bacterium
Lineage: Bacteria
Description: bacterial SSU rRNA
Rfam family: Bacterial small subunit ribosomal RNA
Source: RNAcentral